AUAAUCAUUUGCCUUUUAAUUGAAGGCUAGAAUGAAAGUACUGACGGGGGGCCGCUGACUCGACCUUGCUGGACGAACUUGACUGCGGGGUUAAAAUGCCCCGAUGCCCUAGAAGGACGACAAGACCCUAUAAAACUUUACUACCCCCGGUUACCACUCUAAGGUCACCUGCAAAACCGAAUGUAGUUUAGCUGGGGCGGCCAACCCCCUCCGGGACCGUAAUCAAACACCGUGCGUGAUCCCUUGAACAUUUUUAAAUAGGAAGACCAAGUUACUUUAGGGAUAACAGCGCAAUAAUUUCGAAGAGCCCCUAUCGAUGAAGUUGUUUGCGACCUCGAUGUUGAAUUGGAGCCCCCCCCGGAGCAGCCCCCGGGGAAAGGAGGUCUGUUCGACCUUUAAUCCUCCACGUGAU
RNAcentral lists this ribosomal RNA (412 nucleotides) under Excirolana mayana. Its description in RNAcentral is "partial 16S ribosomal RNA". It matches the Rfam family "Bacterial large subunit ribosomal RNA", at positions 1956 to 2604 of the family's 2925-position model. Lineage: Eukaryota; Metazoa; Arthropoda; Malacostraca; Isopoda; Cirolanidae. The record is from RNAcentral.